UACAGAGGUCUCAAGCGCUGUUCGGAUUCAUUGGGCGUAAAGGGGGCGUAGGCGGCGCGGUAAGUCGGGUGUGAAAUCUUGGAGCUUAACUCCGAAACUGCAUUCGAUACUGCCGUGCUUGAGGACUGGAGAGGAGACUGGAAUUUACGGUGUAGCGGUGAAAUGCGUAGAUAUCGUAAGGAAGACCAGUGGCGAAGGCGGGUCUCUGGACAGUUCCUGACGCUGAGGCACGAAGGCCAGGGGAGCAAACGGG
RNAcentral lists this ribosomal RNA (253 nucleotides) under uncultured bacterium. RNAcentral describes it as "partial 16S ribosomal RNA". It matches the Rfam family "Bacterial small subunit ribosomal RNA", at positions 524 to 776 of the family's 1533-position model. The record is from RNAcentral.